Molecule: ribosomal RNA, 513 nt
Filed under: uncultured bacterium
Lineage: Bacteria
Description: partial 16S ribosomal RNA
Rfam family: Bacterial small subunit ribosomal RNA
Source: RNAcentral
GACGAACGCUGGCGGCAUGCCUAAUACAUGCAAGUCGAGCGAACAGAUGAAGUGCUUGCACUUCUGACGUUAGCGGCGAACGGGUGAGUAACACGUAAGGAAUCUACCUAUAAGCGGGGGAUAACAUUCGGAAACGGGUGCUAAUACCGCAUAAUAUCUUCUUCCGCAUGGAAGAAGAUUGAAAGACGGCUCUGCUGUCACUUAUAGAUGACCUUGCGGUGCAUUAGUCAGUUGGUGGGGUAAUGGCCUACCAAGACGAUGAUGCAUAGCCGACCGGGGAGGGUGAUCGGCCACAUUGGGACUGAGACACGGCCCAAACUCCUACGGGAGGCAGCAGUAGGGAAUCUUCCGCAAUGGGCGAAAGCCUGACGGAGCAAUGCCGCGUGAGUGAAGAAGGCCUUCGGGUCGUAAAACUCUGUUAUAAGAGAAGAACAAAUUGUAGAGUAACUGCUACAGUCUUGACGGUAUCUUAUCAGAAAGCCACGGCUAACUACGUGCCAGCCGCCGCAGUAA